ACGAACGCUGGCGGCGUGCUUAACACAUGCAAGUCGAACGGUAAGGCCUUUCGGGGUACACGAGUGGCGAACGGGUGAGUAACACGUGGGUGAUCUGCCCUGCACUUCGGGAUAAGCCCGGGAAACUGGGUCUAAUACCGGAUAGGACUGCGCGGUGCAUGCCGUGUGGUGGAAAGAUUUAUCGGUGCAGGAUGGGCCCGCGGCCUAUCAGCUUGUUGGUGGGGUAACGGCCUACCAAGGCGACGACGGGUAGCCGGCCUGAGAGGGCGACCGGUCACACUGGGACUGAGACACGGCCCAGACUCCUACGGGAGGCAGCAGUGGGGAAUAUUGCACAAUGGGCGCAAGCCUGAUGCAGCGACGCCGCGUGAGGGAUGACGGCCUUCGGGUUGUAAACCUCUUUCAGCAGGGACGAAGCGUGAGUGACGGUACCUGCAGAAGAAGCACCGGCCAACUACGUG
RNAcentral lists this ribosomal RNA (461 nucleotides) under uncultured bacterium. RNAcentral's name for it is "partial 16S ribosomal RNA". It matches the Rfam family "Bacterial small subunit ribosomal RNA", at positions 29 to 507 of the family's 1533-position model. The record is from RNAcentral.